AUUGAACGCUGGCGGCAUGCCUUACACAUGCAAGUCGAACGGUAACAGGUCUUCGGAUGCUGACGAGUGGCGAACGGGUGAGUAAUACAUCGGAACGUGCCUAGUAGUGGGGGAUAACUACUCGAAAGAGUGGCUAAUACCGCAUGAGAUCUACGGAUGAAAGCAGGGGAUCGCAAGACCUUGUGCUACUAGAGCGGCCGAUGGCAGAUUAGGUAGUUGGUGGGAUAAAAGCUUACCAAGCCGACGAUCUGUAGCUGGUCUGAGAGGACGAUCAGCCACGCGAGGACUGGGAAACGGCGCAGACUCCUCCGGGAGGCAGCAGAGGGGAAUUGUGGACAAUGGGCGCAAGACUGAUCCAGCAAUGCCGCGUGCAGGAUGAAGGCCUUCGGGUUGUAAACUGCUUUUGUACGGAACGAAAAGCCCCGGGUUAAUACCCUGGGGUCAUGACGGUACCGUAAGAAUAAGCACCGGCUAACUACGUGCCAGCCGCCGCGGUAA
RNAcentral lists this ribosomal RNA (498 nucleotides) under uncultured bacterium. RNAcentral's name for it is "partial 16S ribosomal RNA". It matches the Rfam family "Bacterial small subunit ribosomal RNA", at positions 30 to 523 of the family's 1533-position model. The record is from RNAcentral.